UUGCCAACCCUUACGACAU
This 19-nucleotide non-coding RNA is filed under the name Arabidopsis thaliana (thale cress). Lineage: Eukaryota; Viridiplantae; Streptophyta; Magnoliopsida; Brassicales; Brassicaceae. The record is from RNAcentral.